Helianthus annuus (common sunflower) is the source of this 1187-nucleotide long non-coding RNA. RefSeq lists it as uncharacterized. The record is from RefSeq and is a predicted model, not a curated record. NCBI's taxonomy places the organism in Eukaryota, Viridiplantae, Streptophyta, Magnoliopsida, Asterales, Asteraceae. The transcript is spliced from 6 exons.
UAAUACAAAUUUCACCUUUUUACCUCCAAAUUUUUCCUAAAAUUUACAUUAAAAUUUCUAUUUCCCUCUCACUCUUGUCAGUUUCCCUCUCACCCUCAAAAAUUUCCAAGUUCGUCUUCAAUGGUUCUUCAAAAGUCAUCAUCUAUAGGUGUUUCGCUUGUGUUUCUGUAGUUUUCUCCACCAACCUUGUUCCUACUCUUGAGGUGGUGCAUUGCAGUUUGUUCCACGAAUCCACUGUCAAUCUGAGAUACUUUCUUAUAUUUAGUGAUAUGCAAAGAGGUAAAUCAAGAUUUGAACUGGGUCAGAAGAGCAUUUACCACCUGAUACCCCUUAUAGAAUCUGAAGGUUCUGAACCAGAUAUAGCUGCUUUUCUUCCUGCAGCUAGGCUUUCAACUUCAUCGAUUAAAACAAAUACCAGAUUGUUCUCCUCCUCCACCAUUUCCUGAAUUUUCUGAAAAAGUUUUGCAACCAAUUUGCCACUUUCAAAAAACCAUUUGCUGAACAAUGAGUGUGCAUUCACUUCAACCAGCUGACAAUGUGGAUAUCUGGAGCUAAAACAUAUUGACAGUUUCUGUGCUAAUGCUUUGCAUAGUGAUGUCUUGCCAGUUCCUGGAGGACCAUGUAGAAGAACGAUACUGCGAAAUUUACAAGAACGUAGAUUGUAUAAAAGAUACAAAGUUAAUGUGUACAAAGUUCCAUGCUUUCUAUAGCUUUAAGGUUGUCUAUUAUGCAAGAAUCCCUAUCACUGAGUGUGAUUUUGCUGGUACAGGCACCUUCGCUUAGAUGGACAUACAUCUGGUGGAGACCAUGGGGCCUUAAUUGAUCAGUUUAACAAUCCAGGAUCACCAUUUUUCAUAUUCCUGCUCAGGAUAUCAACGUGAAGAUCGAGAGGACAUUAUGGUGAUGUCAAAAGAAGUUGAGUAUAGUCAGUUGGCUGGUGUAGCGACAAUAAGUAGUAAGUGCUGGAAACUAUGAAGUGGAAGUAUGACUAUUAAGAAAACGUUAACACGAUGGAAGAUUGUCAAAGAGAUUCAUGAACACAAUGAAGUUUUGAGUUUUUAUUCCUAAACUUGUUAGUUUAUUUGGGUUAUAUGUUUGAUCAUUAGACUUAGAUCGACACUUAUUAGACAUCUGGAACCUUUGUAAAGAUUGAUUGAACUUUUAACUGAAGUGAUUAUUUUAUGAUU